AAGUGGAGCAAUCCAUGAGUAAAGUGGCGACCGGGUGAGUAACACGUGACUAACCUACCUUCGAGUGGGGGAUAACAUCGGGAAACCGAUGCUAAUACCGCAUAACAUCGCAAGAUCAAAGCAGCAAUGCGCUGGAAGAGGGGGUCGCGGCUGAUUAGCUAGUUGGCGGGGUAACGGCCCACCAAGGCGAAGAUCGGUAGCCGGCCUGAGAGGGCGCACGGCCACACUGGAACUGAAACACGGUCCAGACUCCUACGGGAGGCAGCAGUGGGGAAUUUUGCGCAAUGGGGGAAACCCUGACGCAGCAACGCCGCGUGGAGGAUGAAGCCCCUUGGG
This 336-nucleotide ribosomal RNA is filed under the name uncultured bacterium. Its description in RNAcentral is "bacterial SSU rRNA". It matches the Rfam family "Bacterial small subunit ribosomal RNA", at positions 72 to 422 of the family's 1533-position model. The record is from RNAcentral.